This 429-nucleotide ribosomal RNA is filed under the name Hebeloma naviculosporum. Its description in RNAcentral is "partial small subunit ribosomal RNA". The record is from RNAcentral. Lineage: Eukaryota; Fungi; Basidiomycota; Agaricomycetes; Agaricales; Hymenogastraceae.
GGAGCAAACGAAGUGAAGCAUGUUAUUUAAUACGAAAGUACGCGUAAAAUCUUACCAGUUCUUGCAUAGCCAAUCCCUCUUAUUUUUUUAUAAAUAAACUACUCACUCACUUGCUUCGAAGAGAAGGUAUUUAUUUAGAUAAAUAGUAAUUGUAUUUAUUAUUUAUUUAUUUAUUUAUUUUUUCUUCUUCAUAGGGAGAAGAAGAUUUUUAUUUUAAAUUUAAGACUGGAUUGAGUGAUAAUUAUUUAUGAAUAAGUUAUUUUACCUUUUUUGUUUCUUCCCUAUAUUUACCUUAGGGAGAUACACCUUUGCUUUUAUCCCUAUCCAUAGGGAUGGAAAAAAAGUAGUACCUACGGAUAGAAAUAGAGGAGACAAAAUAGUGUACAAAUAUUUAAUUAUAUUAAUUUAUCCGUUUACAGGUGUUGCAUG